AGAGUUUGAUCAUGGCUCAGGACGAACGCUGGCGGCGUGCUUAACACAUGCAAGUCGAACGGAAAGGCCCUGCUUUUGUGGGGUGCUCGAGUGGCGAACGGGUGAGUAACACGUGAGUAACCUGCCCUUGACUUUGGGAUAACUUCAGGAAACUGGGGCUAAUACCGGAUAGGAGCUCCUGCUGCAUGGUGGGGGUUGGAAAGUUUCGGCGGUUGGGGAUGGACUCGCGGCUUAUCAGCUUGUUGGUGGGGUAGUGGCUUACCAAGGCUUUGACGGGUAGCCGGCCUGAGAGGGUGACCGGCCACAUUGGGACUGAGAUACGGCCCAGACUCCUACGGGAGGCAGCAGUGGGGAAUAUUGCACAAUGGGCGGAAGCCUGAUGCAGCAACGCCGCGUGCGGGAUGACNGCCUUCGGGUUGUAAACCGCUUUCGCCUGUGACGAAGCGUGAGUGACGGUAAUGGGUAAAGAAGCACCGGCUAACUACGUGCCAGCAGCCGCGGUGAUACGUAGGGUGCGAGCGUUGUCCGGAUUUAUUGGGCGUAAAGGGCUCGUAGGUGGUUGAUCGCGUCGGAAGUGUAAUCUUGGGGCUUAACCCUGAGCGUGCUUUCGAUACGGGUUGACUUGAGGAAGGUAGGGGAGAAUGAAAUUCCUGGUGGAGCGGUGGAAUGCGCAGAUAUCAGGAGGAACACCAGUGGCGAAGGCGGUUCUCUGGGCCUUUCCUGACGCUGAGGAGCGAAAGCGUGGGGAGCGAACAGGCUUAGAUACCCUGGUAGUCCACGCUGUAAACGGUGGGUACUAGGUGUGGGGUCCAUUCCACGGGGUUCCGUGCCGUA
Molecule: ribosomal RNA, 834 nt
Filed under: uncultured bacterium
Lineage: Bacteria
Description: bacterial SSU rRNA
Rfam family: Bacterial small subunit ribosomal RNA
Source: RNAcentral